AAACCGUGUUAUGGGAAUGAACUAACAAGAUCCUUGAACCGCUCCUAGCAUUGGAAGAAUGUUUCAUCUUCCUUUUAGGCGAAGUUCGUGAUUGACUUUCUGAGGAU
This is a small nucleolar RNA of Magnolia sinica, 107 nucleotides long. The record is from RefSeq and is a predicted model, not a curated record. NCBI's taxonomy places the organism in Eukaryota, Viridiplantae, Streptophyta, Magnoliopsida, Magnoliales, Magnoliaceae.